GACGAACGCUGGCGGCGUGCCUAAUACAUGCAAGUAGAACGCACAGUUUAUACCGUAGCUUGCUCCACCAUAGACUGUGAGUUGCGAACGGGUGAGUAACGCGUAGGUAACCUGCCUGGUAGCGGGGGAUAACUAUUGGAAACGAUAGCUAAUACCGCAUAAUAUUAAUUAUUGCAUGAUAAUUAAUUGAAAGGUGCAAUUGCACCACUACCAGAUGGACCUGCGUUGUAUUAGCUAGUAGGUGAGGUAACGGCUCACCUAGGCGACGAUACAUAGCCGACCUGAGAGGGUGAUCGGCCACACUGGGACUGAGACACGGCCCAGACUCCUACGGGAGGCAGCAGUAGGGAAUCUUCGGCAAUGGACGAAAGUCUGACCGAGCAACGCCGCGUGAGUGAAGAAGGGUUUCGGAUCGUAAAGCUCUGUUGUAAGAGAAGAACGGGUGUGAGAGUGGAAAGUUCACACUGUGACGGUAUCUUACCAGAAAGGGACGGCUAACUACGUG
RNAcentral lists this ribosomal RNA (505 nucleotides) under uncultured bacterium. Its description in RNAcentral is "partial 16S ribosomal RNA". It matches the Rfam family "Bacterial small subunit ribosomal RNA", at positions 28 to 507 of the family's 1533-position model. The record is from RNAcentral.